This 822-nucleotide ribosomal RNA is filed under the name Kuettlingeria fuscoatroides. Its description in RNAcentral is "eukaryotic LSU rRNA". The stretch from base 460 to 613 matches the Rfam family "5.8S ribosomal RNA". Lineage: Eukaryota; Fungi; Ascomycota; Lecanoromycetes; Teloschistales; Teloschistaceae. The record is from RNAcentral.
GUCGGGGUCGUUGUUCGACGUACCCGUCGGAAGCCUUGUCAGUUAGCAGUCUGCCUUUCGGCGGGCAACAUCCGCCUGUAGCUGGAAAUUUUGCCCUUUUCGGGGCGAACAAUCAGCUGCUGCAUGCCAAAACCAUGCAGUCCACAGAUCAAACGCGGGUGGCCUCUCUCCCUUUAUAGCUUGAAGAGGUUAAGAUAUGACCGUAGCAGUUCUGCGAAGAGCUUGGUUUACUAGUUCCGUAGGUGAACCUGCGGAAGGAUCAUUACCGAGAGGGGGGCUCACGCGCCCCAGGGGUUCUGCCCCGCACCUUUCCACCCUAUGUGUAUCUUCUACUGUUGCUUUGGCGGGCCCCGGGGCUUAUUUCCCGGCGCUGCCCCUGCAAGGAGCUCGCGAGCGCCCGCCGAAGGCCUAUCAUCAAUCUGUUUUAUCAUGCAGUCUGAGUAUACGAAAAUCAAUUAAAACUUUCAACAACGGAUCUCUUGGUUCUGGCAUCGAUGAAGAACGCAGCGAAAUGCGAUAAGUAAUGUGAAUUGCAGAAUUCAGUGAAUCAUCGAAUCUUUGAACGCACAUUGCGCCCUCUGGUAUUCCGGGGGGCAUGCCUGUUCGAGCGUCAUUACACCCCUCAAGCACUGCUUGGUAUUGGGUGCUCGCCAUCCCUCUAGGGUGGUGCGCCCGAAAUUCAGUGGCGGUCUCGGUAGACUUCAAGCGUAGUAAAUAUUCCGCUUUGGAAGCCUCUACCGGCGGUUCAGCCAGUAAAAUCUUCUUGUCCAACACAUUGACCUCGGAUCAGGUAGGGAUACCCGCUGAACUUAAGCAUAUCAU